This 576-nucleotide ribosomal RNA is filed under the name uncultured bacterium. RNAcentral's name for it is "bacterial SSU rRNA". It matches the Rfam family "Bacterial small subunit ribosomal RNA", at positions 102 to 674 of the family's 1533-position model. The record is from RNAcentral.
ACGGGUGAGUAAUACAUCGGAACGUAUCCUGGAGUGGGGGAUAGCCCGGCGAAAGCCGGAUUAAUACCGCAUACGCUCUGAGGAGGAAAGCGGGGGACCUUCGGGCCUCGCGCUCAAGGGGCGGCCGAUGGCGGAUUAGGUAGUUGGUGGGGUAAAGGCCUACCAAGCCGACGAUCCGUAGCUGGUCUGAGAGGACGACCAGCCACACUGGGACUGAGACACGGCCCAGACUCCUACGGGAGGCAGCAGUGGGGAAUUUUGGACAAUGGGGGCAACCCUGAUCCAGCAAUGCCGCGUGUGUGAAGAAGGCCUUCGGGUUGUAAAGCACUUUUGUCCGGAAAGAAAUCAUCGGGGCCAAUACCCCUGGUGGAUGACGGUACCGGAAGAAUAAGCACCGGCUAACUACGUGCCAGCAGCCGCGGUAAUACGUAGGGUGCGAGCGUUAAUCGGAAUUACUGGGCGUAAAGCGUGCGCAGGCGGUGCUGUAAGACCGAUGUGAAAUCCCCGGGCUUAACCUGGGAACUGCACUGGUGACUGCAGCGCUGGAGUAUGGCAGAGGGGGGUGGAAUUCCACGU